UACGGAGGGUGCGAGCGUUGUCCGGAAUCAUUGGGCGUAAAGGGCGCGUAGGUGGCCCAGUCAGCGUGCGGUGAAAGCUCGGGGCUCAACCCCGAGUCGGCCGUGCGAACUACUGGGCUGGAGCACUGUAGAGGCAGGCGGAAUUCCGGGUGCAGCGGUGGAAUGCGUAGAGAUCCGGAAGAACACCGGUGGCGAAGGCGGCCUGCUGGGCAGUUGCUGACACUGAGGCGCGACAGCGUGGGGAGCAAACAGG
RNAcentral lists this ribosomal RNA (253 nucleotides) under uncultured bacterium. Its description in RNAcentral is "partial 16S ribosomal RNA". It matches the Rfam family "Bacterial small subunit ribosomal RNA", at positions 524 to 776 of the family's 1533-position model. The record is from RNAcentral.